GUGCUGGGAGCCAGGAAAAUGUUCUUCCCAGGAUAUGGUUAUCCCGGAAAUUCUUUUGAGCAGACAUACCGCUGCUACCCGGCAUCAUUUAUUGAUAAGCCGCAAUUGGAAUCCGGUGAUAAAAUUAUAAUGCCUCCAUCUGCUCUUGAUCGUCUUGCUUCUCUGCACAUUGAAUAUCCAAUGUUGUUUGAACUCCACAAUACCGCUGCUUCAAGAUCUUCUCACUGUGGCGUGUUGGAGUUCAUUGCUGAAGAAGGCAUGAUAUACAUGCCUUAUUGGAUGAUGCAGAAUUUGCUUUUAAC
Molecule: unclassified non-coding RNA, 302 nt
Filed under: Hevea brasiliensis (rubber tree)
Lineage: Eukaryota; Viridiplantae; Streptophyta; Magnoliopsida; Malpighiales; Euphorbiaceae
Source: RNAcentral